This 528-nucleotide ribosomal RNA is filed under the name Triticum aestivum (bread wheat). Its description in RNAcentral is "partial small subunit ribosomal RNA". The record is from RNAcentral. Lineage: Eukaryota; Viridiplantae; Streptophyta; Magnoliopsida; Poales; Poaceae.
AUGCAUGCAAUGCAAUGGUGGGAUGAGUGGAAGCUGUGCGUCCUUGUCUUGUGCAGUCUCUCUGUCCAGUUCUUCCUCUACUUCUCAAAUUAUGUGCGUAGAUUGCAUAACCUACGCAGGUUGAGGGUGCUGGUGUGGAUCGCGCACAUUGGCGGGGAUGCCCUGGCGGUCUAUGCUAUUGCCAUCCUCUUCAACCGCCAAAAGCAGCGAAAUGUGGAUGAGAGAAGCGAAGCUCUCGAGCUCAUAUGGUUGCCUAUCCUCCUCAUUCACCUCGGCGGCCAGUCCUACAGCCUCGAGGACAAUGAGCUAUGGAAGCGGCAUGCCAUAACUCUGCUGUCCCAAGUCGCGUUCGCCUUGUACAUCUUUUGCAAGUGGUGGUCCGGCCAGAAGAGGCUCCUGCAGGCGGCCGUCUUGCUCUUUGUCGCUGGCAUCCUCGAGUUCGGCCAGAAGCCAUGGGCCCUUAAGAGGGCCAGCUUCAAUAGCAUGGCCUCCAAAAGUUCACAAAGAUCUUUGCCUUUAUUGUUGUAA